RNAcentral lists this ribosomal RNA (497 nucleotides) under uncultured bacterium. RNAcentral's name for it is "partial 16S ribosomal RNA". It matches the Rfam family "Bacterial small subunit ribosomal RNA", at positions 28 to 507 of the family's 1533-position model. The record is from RNAcentral.
GAUGAACGCUGGCGGCGUGCCUAAUACAUGCAAGUCGAGCGAACAGACGAGGAGCUUGCUCCUUUGACGUUAGCGGCGGACGGGUGAGUAACAUGUAGGUAACCUACCUAUAAGACUGGGAUAACUUCGGGAAACCGGAGCUAAUACCGGAUAAUAUUUCGAACCGCAUGGUUCGAUAGUGAAAGAUGGCUUUGCUAUCACUUAUAGAUGGACCUGCGCCGUAUUAGCUAGUUGGUAAGGUAACGGCUUACCAAGGCAACGAUACGUAGCCGACCUGAGAGGGUGAUCGGCCACACUGGAACUGAGACACGGUACAGACUCCUACGGGAGGCAGCAGUAGGGAAUCUUCCGCAAUGGGCGAAAGCCUGACGGAGCAACGCCGCGUGAGUGAUGAAGGUCUUCGGAUCGUAAAACUCUGUUAUUAGGGAAGAACAAACGUGUAAGUAACUGUGCACGUCUUGACGGUACCUAAUCAGAAAGCCACGGCUAACUACGUG